GAUGAACGCUGGCGGCGUGCCUAAUACAUGCAAGUCGAGCGAACGGACGAGAAGCUUGCUUUUCUGAUGUUAGCGGCGGACGGGUGAGUAACACGUGGAUAACCUACCUAUAAGACUGGGAUAACUUCGGGAAACCGGAGCUAAUACCGGAUAAUAUUUUGAACCGCAUGGUUCAAAAGUGAAAGACGGUCUUGCUGUCACUUAUAGAUGGAUCCACGCUGCAUUAGCUAGUUGGUAAGGUAACGGCUUACCAAGGCAACGAUGCAUAGCCGACCUGAGAGGGUGAUCGGCCACACUGGAACUGAGACACGGUCCAGACUCCUACGGGAGGCAGCAGUAGGGAAUCUUCCGCAAUGGGCGAAAGCCUGACGGAGCAACGCCGCGUGAGUGAUGAAGGUCUUCGGAUCGUAAAACUCUGUUAUUAGGGAAGAACAUAUGUGUAAGUAACUGUGCACAUCUUGACGGUACCUAAUCAGAAAGCCACGGCUAACUACGUG
RNAcentral lists this ribosomal RNA (497 nucleotides) under uncultured bacterium. RNAcentral describes it as "partial 16S ribosomal RNA". It matches the Rfam family "Bacterial small subunit ribosomal RNA", at positions 28 to 507 of the family's 1533-position model. The record is from RNAcentral.